This 31-nucleotide non-coding RNA is filed under the name Homo sapiens (human). The record is from RNAcentral. Lineage: Eukaryota; Metazoa; Chordata; Mammalia; Primates; Hominidae.
CAGACACCGUGGAGAUGGACAUUUACUGACU